Ruditapes philippinarum (Manila clam) is the source of this 1925-nucleotide long non-coding RNA. RefSeq lists it as uncharacterized. The transcript is spliced from 2 exons. NCBI's taxonomy places the organism in Eukaryota, Metazoa, Mollusca, Bivalvia, Venerida, Veneridae. The record is from RefSeq and is a predicted model, not a curated record.
GUCUUUUGUUUUCAUAGUGAUUAUGUUGUUUUCAUAGUUAUUAUGUGUUAUUGUGAUGGACGCGCCCUUUAUUAUGCCACCGCAGCAUCUGCGAUAGUGUGUGUGGGUGUGUGUGUUUGUGUGUUAUAUAGAUUAUAUAGUGACCUUAAAAAAUCUUAUUGUGAAAAACCACUAGUCCAAUUUCAACCAAACUUGGCAGGAUUGAUCCUUGGGUGAAGGGCUUCCAAAGUUGUUCAAAGAAUUUUAUUCCGUGCAGAAAUCUGGUUGCCAUGGCAACCAAAAGGAAUUAUAAGAAUAAAUUUAAAAAAUCUUCUUGUAAAGACCCAAAAGGCCUAGAGCUUAAAUAUUUUGCUUAAGGAAAAGGGUGUGUGUGCAUUCCUCAUUAAUUAGCGUGUGCACAUUGCUUGAUAAUGCUUGAUAUAUAUUUUAAAAUAAAUUUGUCCAUCUCAGACCCGUUUGUAUAGGAAUCAAAACAAUUACAAUACGGAGAUUGCCAAUGAAAAAUUGAGCUGGAAUAUACAAGAUCAGAUUUGAUUGGUCGUCGUUUUUUACCAGCCAAUGAAAUCGUUUGUUGCAUAGUCAUUUGAUGUCAAAAUACAUGUACAAAUACAAUGACAACAACAGUGAAGUGUUUACCGCCUGGUCUGAAAAAGGGUGCAAAAAACAAAUGGAGGUGGGAGUGGUUAGCGGAAAAGGACUCUAAAUGUGAAAAAUGGGAUGCUUGGUUGAAGAAACCAAAUGCAAUGGGCUUUUGUGAAGUCUGUUCCAAAACGAUCAACUAGACAAAUCGAACAGAAAAAGGUGCUUCUUAAUCACGAUGAGCUGAAGAUGAGGACCACUAAAAGAAUCUUAGACCAAGUACUGCCAGGCUCAUCAAAAGCUGUGGACAAAAAGAUUGAAAGUAUGCAAGACCGCAUUGCCAAACAAAGAGCAAUCAUAACUGCCUUUCUUAGUGAACGUUGACUGCCAUUUUCCAUAGCAGGCAAUCUCUAACAUCUUGCCAAACGUUUAGCUGAAGACAAGUCUGCUCUUGAAAAAACUACUCUUUCUCCAACCAGUGCAAUGUACAUAACAACACAUGGUGUAGCCAAAUCUGUUAAGGAUGGAGUGAAGUCAAAAGUGAAAGAUAAGUUAAUAUCUUUGAAUAUGGAUGAGGCAACUAACAAAAAACAAUAACAAAGUAAUCUUUCAGUACUUUGAUGAUGAAACUAGUCAAGUAGUAAUGGAUCAUUUAGGAUUGAAAAUUCAAAAUGUUUCCACAUCUGAAGAAAUUGUCAAGUCAGUUGAAAGUGUGCUACAUUAACAAGUGGAAGACAAUGGAAAAGGAUUAAAUUUAAGAUAUGAAAUUGAAAGUAAAAGAAUGAACAUAAUUUGUUAUGUGGAAUGUGUAUAUAUUGCUUAAAUAGUAUUACUCAGUGAAUUUGUGUAAAUUUUAACAUAUCAGAUUAAUUACAUCUGAAGAUAUAUAAAGCACUUGAGUAUGUAUCUGAACCUUUUUUGAACUUUUAAAUUCACUAAAUUGCAAAAGCUUCUGAGGGCCUCCAGCCCCCUGAACCCCUAGCCAGGGCGUUGCCAUGGUUCCACCGGGGGCCCUAGCGGCCCCCUGACCCCCAACUUUUUCUUUCAGUAUUUUCAGUUUCUGUAACUUUUACCCCUGCAUGUACACAUGUGUUUAUCACCUCAAUAAAUGUAAGUGAAAAUGGAACAAUAAUUAUGGUAAUUAUCCAUGGUGCUAGAAAUACUUAAUUAUCUUUAUCAUGUUAACUAAGCAAGAAGCUUAUAAUUGCCUAACCUUACAAUAGUUAUCAAUUUAAACUUGAAAAUCUACUCUAAAUGACUUCCCAAACAGUAAUUUCUGAAAACAUGAAAAUGAUUCGUGUAGAAAAAUAACACAAGAAAAAACUGAUUUGACUUAUGAAAAUUUU